This 393-nucleotide ribosomal RNA is filed under the name uncultured bacterium. Its description in RNAcentral is "partial 16S ribosomal RNA". It matches the Rfam family "Bacterial small subunit ribosomal RNA", at positions 523 to 918 of the family's 1533-position model. The record is from RNAcentral.
AUACGGAGGAUCCGAGCGUUAUCCGGAUUUAUUGGGUUUAAAGGGUGCGCAGGCGGGAGAUUAAGUCGGCGGUGAAAUUUUGCAGCUCAACUGUAAAAGUGCCUUCGAAACUGGUUUCCUUGAGUGUAUAUGAAGUAGGCGGAAUUUGUGGUGUAGCGGUGAAAUGCAUAGAUAUCACGAGGAACUCCGAUUGCGCAGGCAGCUUACUAAACUACUACUGACGCUCAGGCACGAAGGCGUGGGGAUCAAACAGGAUUAGAUACCCUGGUAGUCCACGCAGUAAACGAUGAUUACUAGCUGUUUGCGAUACAAUGUAAGCGGCUGAGCGAAAGCGUUAAGUAAUCCACCUGGGGAGUACGUUCGCAAGAAUGAAACUCAAAUGAAUUGACGGGG